AGUUGGUGAGGUAACGGCUCACCAAGGCGACGAUGGGUAGCCGGCCUGAGAGGGUGGACGGCCACACUGGGACUGAGACACGGCCCAGACUCCUACGGGAGGCAGCAGUAGGGAAUAUUGCGCAAUGGAGGAAACUCUGACGCAGCGACGCCGCGUGAGCGAUGAAGGUUUUCGGAUCGUAAAGCUCUGUCCUUGGGGAAGAAGGUCUUCGGACUUGACGGUACCCAAGAAGAAAGCCCCGGCUAACUACGUGCCAGCAGCCGCGGUAAUACGUAGGGGGCAAGCGUUGUCCGGAAUUAUUGGGCGUAAAGGGUGCGUAGGCGGCCUUUUAAGUCAGAUGUGAAAGCCCGCGGCUUAACUGCGGGAUUGCAUUUGAAACUGGGAGGCUUGAGUAUCGGAGAGGGUAGUGGAAUUCCCAGUGUAGCGGUGAAAUGCGUAGAUAUUGGGAGGAACACCAGUGGCGAAGGCGACUGCCUGGACGAAAACUGACGCUGAGGCACGAAAGCUAGGGGAGCAAACAGGAUUAGAUACCCUGGUAGUCCUAGCCGUAAACGAUGGGUACUAGGUGUAGGAGGUUUCGAUACCUUCUGUGCC
RNAcentral lists this ribosomal RNA (594 nucleotides) under uncultured bacterium. Its description in RNAcentral is "bacterial SSU rRNA". It matches the Rfam family "Bacterial small subunit ribosomal RNA", at positions 247 to 847 of the family's 1533-position model. The record is from RNAcentral.